CCUACGGGGGGCAGCAGUGAGGAAUAUUGGUCAAUGGGCGCUAGCCUGAACCAGCCAAGUAGCGUGAAGGAUGACUGCCCUAUGGGUUGUAAACUUCUUUUAUAUGGGAAUAAAGUGCAGUAUGUGUACUGCUUUGCAUGUACCUUAUGAAUAAGGAUCGGCUAACUCCGUGCCAGCAGCCGCGGUAAUACGGAGGAUCCGAGCGUUAUCCGGCUUUAUUGGGUUUAAAGGGAGCGUAGGCGGGUUGUUAAGUCAGUUGUGAAAGUUUGCGGCUCAACCGUAAAAUUGCAGUUGAUACUGGCAGCCUUGAGUACAGUAGAGGUAGGCGGAAUUCGUGGUGUAGCGGUGAAAUGCUUAGAUAUCACGAAGAACUCCGAUUGCGAAGGCAGCCUGCUGGACUGUAACUGACGCUGAGGCUCGAAAGUGUGGGUAUCAAACAGGAUUAGAUACCCUAGUAGUC
This 460-nucleotide ribosomal RNA is filed under the name uncultured bacterium. RNAcentral describes it as "partial 16S ribosomal RNA". It matches the Rfam family "Bacterial small subunit ribosomal RNA", at positions 338 to 795 of the family's 1533-position model. The record is from RNAcentral.